GCUUUUAGCCCUAGUGGCGGACGGGUGAGUAACACGUGAGAAUCUGCCCUUAGGAGGAGGAUAACAGCUGGAAACGGUUGCUAAUACUCCAUAUGCCGAGAGGUGAAAGGAAUUUCUGCCUAAGGAGGAGCUCGCGUCUGAUUAGCUAGUUGGUAGGGUAAAGGCCUACCAAGGCGACGAUCAGUAGCUGGUUUGAGAGGAUGAUCAGCCACACUGGGACUGAGACACGGCCCAGACUCCUACGGGAGGCAGCAGUAGGGAAUUUUCCGCAAUGGGCGAAAGCCUGACGGAGCAAUACCGCGUGAGGGAUGACGGCCUGUGGGUUGUAAACCUCUUUUCUCAAGGAAGAAGUUCUGACGGUACUUGAGGAAUAAGCAUCGGCUAACUCUGUGCCAGCAGCCGCGGUAAUACAGAGGAUGCAAGCGUUAUCCGGAAUCACUGGGCAUAAAGCGUCUGUAGGUGGUUUGGUAAGUCUGCUGUUAAAGACUGGGGCUCAACCCCAGAAAGCAGUGGAAACUGCCAGACUUGAGUGUGGUAGAGGUAAAGGGAAUUCAUAGUGUAGCGGUGAAAUGCGUAGAUAUUAGGAAGAACACCAAUGGCGAAGGCACUUUACUGGGCCAUAACUGACACUGAGAGACGACAGCUAGGGGAGCAAAUGGGAUUAGAUACCCCAGUAGUCCUAGCCGUAAACGAUGGAUACUAGAUGUUGCACGUAUUAACCCGUGCAGUAUCGUAGCUAAGCGUUAAGUAUCCCGCCUGGGAAGUACGCUCGCAAGAGUGAAACUCAAAUGAAUUGACGG
This 800-nucleotide ribosomal RNA is filed under the name uncultured cyanobacterium. RNAcentral describes it as "bacterial SSU rRNA". It matches the Rfam family "Bacterial small subunit ribosomal RNA", at positions 82 to 916 of the family's 1533-position model. Lineage: Bacteria; Bacillati; Cyanobacteriota. The record is from RNAcentral.